AUGCAGCUUGUUGUAGAAGGUGUGGUGCCAGAGCUUCUCCAUGUCGUCCCAGUUGGUGAUGAUGCCAUGCUCGAGGAUGCCGCACCUGCCGUGCUGUCCGUCCACACCUCUGUGCACACCACUGGCAUUGUCAUGGACUCUGGAGAUGGGGACACCCACACAGUGCCCAUCUGUGAGGGCUACGCCCUCCCCCGGGCCAUCCUGCGUCUGGACCUGGCUGGCUGGGACCUGACUGACUACCUCAUGAAGGUCCUCACUGAGCGCAGCUACAGCUUCACUAGCACCAUUGAGUGGGAUACCGUGCGUGACAUCAAGGAAAAGCUGUGCUAUGUCACCUGGACUUCGAGCAGGAGAUGGCCACUGCCGUAUCCUCCUUCUCCCUGGAGAAGACCUUUGAGCUGCCCGACGGCCAGGUCAUCACCAUCGGCAACGAGUGGUCCCGGUGUCCAGAGGCACUGCCAACCUUCCUUCCGGGGCAUGGAAUCUUGCUGCAUCCACAAGACUGCCUUCAGCUCCAUCAUGAAGUGUGACGUGGACAUCCACAAAGACCUGCACACGAACACGGUACUGUCCGGCGGCACCACCAUGUACCCAGGCAUUGCCGACAGGAUGCAGAAGGAGAUCACCGCCCUGGUGCCCAGCACCAUGAAGAUCAAGGUCAUUGUUCCCCCAGAGCGCAAGUACUCGGUGUGGAUGGGCAGCUCCAUCCUGGCCUCACUGUCCACCUUCCAGCGGAUGUGGAUUAGCAAGCAGGAAUAUGACAAGUCGGGCCCCUCUAGCGUCUACCCCAAAUGCUUCUAAAUGGACUGUGAGCAGAUGCAUACCAUUUGCUGCAUGGGUUAAUUCAGAAGUAUAAAUUUGCUCCUGGCAAAUGAAUACACCUCAUGCUAGCCUCACAAAACUGAAAUAAGCCUUCAAAAAUACAUUAUCCUUGAAGCUUGUAUCUGAUAUCAAUGCUGAUUGUAGAACUUGUUGACUUUGACCUUGUGUUGAAGCUAACUGUUCCCCUUGGUAUUUGUUUAGUACUCUGUAUGCAUCUUCGAUUUUGACCCUUAGUGCAUGAGGCUUGGUCACUUUGUGGCUGAGGUGAGAACAUGCUUGUGGCAGUCAAGUCUGUGCCUUGGUGGGUCUGCGUGGCCAGGAGUCUCUGAUCUGUGCUGGGUAUUCAUGUGUCAGCGCUGAGUGUUCUGGGAGUUCUCUAGAGGCUGGCAAGGGCUCCUGAACCAGUUGUUUCUGUCCUACCGGUUUGUCACGGUGGGAAAGUCCAAGCCAUAAGACCCAGUUUCCUUUCUUAGCUAAUAUUUUCCUGCCAGAACACCAUGGGCUGUUACUUGCCUUGAGUUGGAAGUGGUUUGCAUUUACACCUGUAAAUGUAUUCAUCCUUUAAAUCUCUGUAAG
Molecule: RNA transcript, 1398 nt
Organism: Callithrix jacchus (white-tufted-ear marmoset)
Lineage: Eukaryota; Metazoa; Chordata; Mammalia; Primates; Cebidae
Gene name: actin, cytoplasmic 2 pseudogene
Source: RefSeq, a predicted model, not a curated record